GUGAACGCUGGCGGUAGGCCUAACACAUGCCAGUCGAACGGCAGCACCGUAAGAGCUUGCUCUUACGGGUGGCGAGUGGCGGACGGGUGAGGAAUACAUCGGAAUCUACUUUUUCGUGGGGGAUAACGUAGGGAAACUUACGCUAAUACCGCAUACGACCUACGGGUGAAAGCAGGGGAUCUUCGGACCUUGCGCGAUUGAAUGAGCCGAUGUCGGAUUAGCUAGUUGGCGGGGUAAAGGCCCACCAAGGCGACGAUCCGUAGCUGGUCUGAGAGGAUGAUCGGCCACACUGGAACUGAGACACGGUCCAGACUCCUACGGGAGGCAGCAGUGGGGAAUAUUAGACAAUGGGCGCAAGCCUGAUCCAGCCAUACCGCGUGGGUGAAGAAGGCCUUCGGGUUGUAAAGCCCUUUUGUUGGGAAAGAAAAGCAGCAGGUUAAUACCCCGCUGUUCUGACGGUACCCAAAGAAUAAGCACCGGCUAACUUCGUG
Molecule: ribosomal RNA, 491 nt
Filed under: uncultured bacterium
Lineage: Bacteria
Description: partial 16S ribosomal RNA
Rfam family: Bacterial small subunit ribosomal RNA
Source: RNAcentral